This 222-nucleotide ribosomal RNA is filed under the name uncultured bacterium. RNAcentral describes it as "partial 16S ribosomal RNA". It matches the Rfam family "Bacterial small subunit ribosomal RNA", at positions 524 to 743 of the family's 1533-position model. The record is from RNAcentral.
UACGUAGGGUGCAAGCGUUGUCCGGAAUUAUUGGGCGUAAAGAGCUCGUAGGCGGUCUGUCGCGUCUGCUGUGAAAACUCGGGGCUUAACCCCGGGCCUGCAGUGGGUACGGGCAGACUAGAGUGCGGUAGGGGAGACUGGAAUUCCUGGUGUAGCGGUGAAAUGCGCAGAUAUCAGGAGGAACACCGAUGGCGAAGGCAGGUCUGCUGGGCCACUGACUGA